CUGGAACAACAGACAUUUAUUUUCUCAUAGUUUUCCGGGAACCAGAGGUCCAAGAUCAAGGCUUCAGCAGCUUUAAUUUCUUCUGAGGCCUCUUUAUGACUGGCAGUUGUCCCGUGUUCUGUAUGUUGUCUGUGUCCUAACCUCCACUCCUUAUAGGGACACCAGUCCUAUCGGAUGAGGGGGUAACUUAAUGACCUCAUUUUACCUUAAUCACUUACUUAAAGGCCCUAUCUCCAAACAGUCAUAUUCUGGGGUCCUGAGGGUUAGGUCUUCAACAUACGAUUAUGGGGGACAUAAUUUAGCCAUAAAGGGGAGAUUCCCAAAAUGCAAAUAUAAACAGGCCUCUCAUUUGCAUAAGCACCUUCUGUAAAUGGAUCCCUGCAGCUUCCAGGACAAAGGUGAAGCUCCUUAGUUCCACCCCUGAGGACUCCCAAAUCUGAGGCCCUCGUCACCAUUGUGCUCAUCUCUUCUCCAUACACAAGCAUUGGAUUUCUAUGACUUCCAUUCCCUAGAUGCCACUCUAGGCACUUACUCAUUCGCUCCUUAUAACAAAUGACACACAGGACAAUGCCAAUGUCCUCUACUUCAUUGGAAGCUCCUCUACGCAAGCCCCAAGUAUUAAUUAUCUCUCAGGCCCAAAUAUCUUAUGCGAGCUCUACCAUCAAAUAGAUGGUCAAUUAGAGAUUAUUAAAUGGAAUACUUUUAAUCCAGUUUUUGCACUUUUAUGUAGCAAUAUUUACUUGGAAGCCAGCCUGGAAAGUAAGGGACAUUUACGAUGGACCUAGGUAUCUUCCUGCAGGUUUGGGGGUUUAUUUUAAUCAGUGCGUCAAUAUUCCCCAUCAGAAUAUAUGCCACUUCUCUCCACUACACUUCUCUGGAGAUGACAUUACGGGGGCAUCUGCUAUACUUUCACCAUUAACACACCUGCCUGAAGUUGCUGUGAAAGAC
RNAcentral lists this long non-coding RNA (948 nucleotides) under Homo sapiens (human). RNAcentral describes it as "HSALNT0215489". The record is from RNAcentral. Lineage: Eukaryota; Metazoa; Chordata; Mammalia; Primates; Hominidae.